Molecule: long non-coding RNA, 1417 nt
Filed under: Sus scrofa (pig)
Lineage: Eukaryota; Metazoa; Chordata; Mammalia; Artiodactyla; Suidae
Description: lncRNA (ENSSSCG00070019087.1)
Source: RNAcentral
AUGAGCAGGGGCCAGCCCCCUGCCUCCAAGACCCUAGGUGACUGCUUCUGGUGGAGGGGAAGAGCCCAGCUGGCUGGUGAGGGGAGGUCCUGGUGGCCACAGGACGUGAGCCCGGUGCUGACAGUCUGCACCCAGAGAGGUGCGCAGGGUGGUCACCCGGAGUCUGCAUCCACCCUGCAGGCGGUGUGUUCUGUGUUGGGUGCGUGUGGUUGUGUGAUAUCUGGGUUGUGUGCUGUCCCGGCAGGCGGGUGUGUGGGUUGUGUCCUGGGAACCUCCGUUGUACACCUGAGCAGCGGCCUGAAGGCGGAGCCCAGAUGUGGAGUCCGAGGGAGACGUCAGUACAGAGAAGGGAGAAGUGAAAGUGAAAAACCCUGGGGCUGCUGGACACUCCAGGCUGGGACCAGGAGACCAGGCUAGGUGAGAAAAAGUGUGGGAGCAGAAAGGACUGUGGCAUGGACAAACUCUGAUCUGAUCGAGAGCAUGCUGGAAGAGGUCAGGAUCCUCCGCUAGGCUGCUCAGCUGGAGGGGCGCCCCUGCUCCACCCACAGCUGAUACUCACCCAAGUGGUUGCAGAACCUGACUGAACCCACUGUCAAAGCCCAGGGAGUGCCAGAGGGGCCCAAAGGGCCAGAAGUGGAGGCCUGAGCCCCCAGUCCUCCACAGCAUUGCUGCCUUCCACGCCUCCUUCUGUCCUUUUUGGGGGCCGCCCCACAGCUUUCUUCGACACCACUGUAACCCCACCCUUGGUGCCUACCGCCCAGAGGGAGCCCGCGCCCAGUGGCCCUGCGCCCCGCACAUCCGCCACUAGCACCCCACGCAAUCGCCACCAUCAUCUGCGGGAAGUCUUCCUUUCUCACCUGGAUCGGUCGCGGUUCCUUUCCGCUUCACUCCCCCUGCCGGCCAUGCCUCUGAGAGCGUGAGGUAGGAGGCCUGGCUGGGCGGCUGUCUGCACGGGCCAGGAGUGCUGGGUGCCGCCAGGGGUCUCGUGCUGCUGGGGGCGGGGGUCUGCCUCCUUAAGGCUCUGCUUGAGCUCAGGGCCUGGGCUGCGCAGGCCAUCCCUCUACCCCAGAUGCAGACUGAAGACAAGACCCACGUUUCACCGCACCAGAGGGCAGCAAGGUGCGAACUAUGGCGGGACCACUUUACAGUCCCUAAAACCCUCACUCUGCUUUGACCAGCAGCCUCAAGUUUCAGGAUGGGGACCAGCAGUCUAGCUGAGGGCAAGAGGCAGCAGAGGCGGGAUGGAGCUGAGGCAGCCGCCCCUCUGGGGCACGGAUAGGGUUGUAGUCUGUGCUUCUCCCUCUGGGCCCUGUGCAGGGUCCCACGUGGGCUCUGGGCUGCACCCUGGCACUGCCCCUGGUGCCUUGAGAUCGAAGGCUCACUCAUCCCCUGUCCCAGCAUCUUGGGAGUUUUGCCU